This 464-nucleotide ribosomal RNA is filed under the name Vreelandella stevensii. Its description in RNAcentral is "partial 16S ribosomal RNA". It matches the Rfam family "Bacterial small subunit ribosomal RNA", at positions 338 to 795 of the family's 1533-position model. Lineage: Bacteria; Pseudomonadati; Pseudomonadota; Gammaproteobacteria; Oceanospirillales; Halomonadaceae. The record is from RNAcentral.
CCUAGGGGCGGCAGCAGUGGGGAAUAUUGGACAAUGGGCGAAAGCCUGAUCCAGCCAUGCCGCGUGUGUGAAGAAGGCCUUCGGGUUGUAAAGCACUUUCAGUGGGGAAGAAAGCCUUGGGGCUAAUACCCUCGAGGAAGGACAUCACCCACAGAAGAAGCACCGGCUAACUCCGUGCCAGCAGCCGCGGUAAUACGGAGGGUGCGAGCGUUAAUCGGAAUUACUGGGCGUAAAGCGCGCGUAGGCGGUCUGAUAAGCCGGUUGUGAAAGCCCCGGGCUCAACCUGGGAACGGCAUCCGGAACUGUCAGGCUAGAGUGCAGGAGAGGAAGGUAGAAUUCCCGGUGUAGCGGUGAAAUGCGUAGAGAUCGGGAGGAAUACCAGUGGCGAAGGCGGCCUUCUGGACUGACACUGACGCUGAGGUGCGAAAGCGUGGGUAGCAAACAGGAUUAGAUACCCCAUAGUC